Molecule: ribosomal RNA, 498 nt
Filed under: uncultured bacterium
Lineage: Bacteria
Description: partial 16S ribosomal RNA
Rfam family: Bacterial small subunit ribosomal RNA
Source: RNAcentral
GACGAACGCUGGCGGCGUGCCUAAUACAUGCCAGUCGAACGAGAGCGACCGGUGCUUGCACUGGUCAAUCUAGUGGCGAACGGGUGAGUAACACGUGGGUAACCUGCCCAUCAGAGGGGGAUAACAUCCGGAAACGGAUGCUAAAACCGCAUAGGUCUUCGAACCGCAUGGUUUGAAGAGGAAAAGAGGCGCAAGCUUCUGCUGAUGGAUGGACCCGCGGUGCAUUAGCUAGUUGGUGAGGUAACGGCUCACCAAGGCCGUGAUGCAUAGCCAACCUGAGAGGGUGAUCGGCCACAUUGGGACUGAGACACGGCCCAAACUCCUACGGGAGGCAGCAGUAGGGAAUCUUCCGCAAUGGACGCAAGUCUGACGGAGCAACGCCGCGUGAGUGAAGAAGGUUUUCGGAUCGUAAAACUCUGUUGUUAGAGAAGAACAAGUGCUAGAGUAACUGUUAGCGCCUUGACGGUAUCUAACCAGAAAGCCACGGCUAACUACGUG